GACGAACGCUGGCGGCGUGCCUAACACAUGCAAGUUGAGCGACGAACCAGGGCUUGCCCUGGGGCAAAGCAGCGAACGGGUGAGUAACACGUGGGUAACCUACCCCGAUAACCGGGACAACCCGAGGAAACUCGGGCUAAUACCGGAUGUGCUCACUGGACUUCGGUUCAGUGCGUAAAGGAAGCUUCGGCCUCCGUAUCGGGAGGGGCCCGCGGCCCAUUAGUUUGUUGGUGAGGUAACGGCUCACCAAGACCGCGAUGGGUAGCUGGGCUGAGAGGACGAUCAGCCACACUGGGACUGAGACACGGCCCAGACUCCUACGGGAGGCAGCAGUGGGGAAUCUUGCGCAAUGCGCGAAAGCGUGACGCAGCAACGCCGCGUGGGGGAAGAAGGCCUUCGGGUUGUAAACCCCUUUCAGGAGGGACGAAGGUUCGGCGGUGAAUAGCCGUCCGGACUGACGGUACCUCCACAAGAAGCCCCGGCUAACUACGUG
RNAcentral lists this ribosomal RNA (493 nucleotides) under uncultured bacterium. Its description in RNAcentral is "partial 16S ribosomal RNA". It matches the Rfam family "Bacterial small subunit ribosomal RNA", at positions 28 to 507 of the family's 1533-position model. The record is from RNAcentral.